Long non-coding RNA from Cavia porcellus (domestic guinea pig), 1823 nucleotides. RefSeq lists it as uncharacterized. The record is from RefSeq and is a predicted model, not a curated record. NCBI's taxonomy places the organism in Eukaryota, Metazoa, Chordata, Mammalia, Rodentia, Caviidae. The transcript is spliced from 2 exons.
UUCACCCUCUCUGGAAGUGCAACUUCUCAUGCACAGAGCAGUAAUAAAUGCUAAACCCCAUCUCCAGCCUAUCACCCGGCACUUGACAAAAAGACCCUUUUGCUCUCCAACCAUAGCAGUCAGCUCUGCAUUGACUUGCAGCAGUCUUGCUCCAGUCCCCACCUGUCCCGACACCGGCCACCAACCUCUCCUGACAUCUCCAAAGAAACCCUGUAGUCUCAGCUCCAGGCUGCAGUUUAGACAUUAACCAUCCAGCAAAUGAUUAUUGAACAUGUACUGUACUCCAGACUGUUCUAGGAGCUGCAGACGCAGUGAACAAAAUAAGACACAAAUCUCUGCUCAGAGUGCUGCUCAUCGUCUAGCAGCGGAGACAGAUAAAAGGCGUACUUCAUUUGCGAGCUAUACAGUCCAAAGUGGUCACGACCAGCCAUGGGUAGACAUCAAGAUUUCAAAACGCAGCCACCACCAUUUGGGAGCAUUGUAUGCAAAAAAUUCACACCAAAUUUGAAAAUGAAGUGCCAAGAAAAGGUCUCUGAUAUGCUGCCCCGCCUCGGAGCCAGCCAACUAUGGACUGAAACUUGUAAAAACUGCGAGUCAAAAUAAACGUUUCCUCCUUUAAGUUGGUGUCAGGUAGAAGUAACUGAAGACAUGCUCCCCAGGGCAGCACAUGAGUGGGAGAGAAGUGCUUCUCAGAUGGAGCUCCGUUUAAAAGAAGGACCUGUCCUUACAUGACUGGAGGUCUGCCCCACCACCCACAGCCCCAUGGCACCCUCAGGACAUCUCCCAAGUCUGCAACAGCCAAGAGUCACCACUGGCCAGUAUUUAUCCAAACCCUUCUGUGCUCCACAAGAAUAAAGGAAGGCCAGUCGGAGAGGAUGUGGAAGCACUGAUCAUCUAUGCUGAGGACACAGAGAGACGCCACCUUCCAGCGACCAGCACAAGAGAUGGCUUCAGACAGCAAGAGGGGUGGGCACGGGCCCAUCACCGGCAACCAGAGCAAUAAGCCUCUUUUUCUGCCACCCAAGGAACCCAACAUACAGCCUGUGACAAUAAACUAACCCUGGAGUCAGUCCCCUAGUAGCACCCCCCCUCCCACUCCCAGCUGCCUGUCACAAGAUGACCGUGUAGCUGAACAGCCCUCCAGCCUAUGAGGAUGUGGCUGGUUCCUUCCUCAACCAGCCUGACCCCCUGCAAGGGCUCUUGGCCUCGAAGGACUAUAGCCCCCUCCAUCCAUUUUCAGAACAACCCACCUUUCGUAUCAAGGCAUAGGGAGAUGGGAUCCCUCAGAACCAGCAAGGCCAGAAUGGAAGGACUCAAGCCCCCAGCACCAGGAGGUGGGUCAACCCGUAUCCCACAAACUGGGACCUCUUCCCAGACCUCAGACAAUACCAGGUCCCCAAGGGAGGAGGGAGGGGCAGAGGAAGUCUGCAGAAGGAGACCAAGAGGAGCUUUGAGAUCAGAAUUAAAUUCUUUAAUACAAAAUGCUUUUUUUAAGAUAUAGCUGUAUUUCUUUGUUGUUGUUUAAAAAUAAAUAUGUACUACGGAAUAUCCCGAAAAAACUGCACUAGAGACAAAAGACGUGAUGUUAAUAUCUUUUCCCCCCACAAUUAUUACGGAUAAACAGUAGCACCAAUAAAUAAAUGAUAACAAAUAUUAAAAUUAAAAAAGGAGAGAGAUUUAGUAUGUAGAAUUCUCUAUUUUUUCUUGUUUUGUUUUUUAUAUAUAAAAAACAGAAUAGCAAUGUCUAUUUUAUCAGAAUCACAUAUAUACAUAAACAUAUAUAUAUAUGUAUAUAUAUAUACACACAAACACAAGUUGCCAAA